Myotis brandtii (Brandt's bat) is the source of this 68-nucleotide non-coding RNA. NCBI's taxonomy places the organism in Eukaryota, Metazoa, Chordata, Mammalia, Chiroptera, Vespertilionidae. The record is from Rfam.
GACCAGGUAGCUCAAUUGAUUAGAGCAUUGUCCUGAUACAUCAAGAUUGCGGGUUCAAUCCCUGGUCA